Molecule: ribosomal RNA, 253 nt
Filed under: uncultured bacterium
Lineage: Bacteria
Description: partial 16S ribosomal RNA
Rfam family: Bacterial small subunit ribosomal RNA
Source: RNAcentral
UACGUAGGGUGCAAGCGUUGUCUGGAAUUAUUGGGCGUAAAGAGCUCGUAGGCGGUCUGUCGCGUCGGAUGUGAAAACCCAGGGCUCAACCCUGGGCCUGCAUUCGAUACGGGCAGACUAGAGUUCGGUAGGGGAGACUGGAAUUCCUGGUGUAGCGGUGAAAUGCGCAGAUAUCAGGAGGAACACCGGUGGCGAAGGCGGGUCUCUGGGCCGAAACUGACGCUGAGGAGCGAAAGCGUGGGGAGCAAACAGG